GAGGUUCGAGAUUUUCUUCAUGUAUAGUUUAAAUUUUCAUGCUGCAAUAAUAUUAGGGGUUCAGAAUAGACUCAUAAUUUCAAAUCUUUUUGUGUCCAUUGAGGAUCAGGGACUACUACCUUUCAUUAUUUAAGGCACUUUGUGUUGAGAACAAAUGACUUGUUCAUUUGAUCGUCUAGGACACUUUAUGUUGUGGGUCAAGGAUCGACUGACCAUCUAAGGCAUUUUGUGUUGAGGACCAAGGACCAAAUCUUUUGACCGUCCAAGGUAUUUUGUGUUGAAAACCAAUGAUUGGUUAUUUUGACUGUCCAAGACAUUUUGUGUUGAGGACCAAGGACCAACUCCUUUGACCAUCCGAGGUACUUUGUGUUGCAGAUCAAGGACCGACUCCUUCGACCAUCCAAAGUACUUUGUAUUGAGGACAAAUGAUCGACUCUUUCAAACGUCUAAGAUGCUUUGUGUGGAGGCCAUUUAAAUAUUUGGCAGACUAGUAAUUUUUGACAAUGAAUUAAUUGAAAGAGUUACUACCCUUUUUUUGCUAAUUUUCUCUCUUUUUUCUUAAGGAAUGGCCGGAAUAAGCUCCAAUGAUAGAGUGUAUUAUGAUGUACACGAAAUUGUUGAGCCUAAAAAUCAAAGCAAAAUUUAUGUUCGUUUCAAAGAUACUAAUGUGAAGCACGGCCCUCAGCUUGGAUUACGAGGUGAACUAAAUGUAGUAUCCAUAAGCCAAUGACAGAUCCUUCUCCUGAGCUCCUGGAUCCUUUAUCGGAGUUAUAUAUGUCCAUCAUUAGUGAAUGUCACGAGAAAUUAGAAACUGCCAAGUCCAACCAUUUUAGCAGUCAUCUUCCUUUUUGGUGUCUAUCACUUGAUCAUUUCCAAAGCAUGGAGCGCAUCCCAAGGGCCAUAAUUUGUGAGAUGAUUGACAAUAAAGAAAUACAAUAGGGAAGUGCACUUGUCAAUCGUGGAGAGAUUUCUUUUCUUCCAAAGUUUUGGGAGUGGUCUUCAUUGGUCCAAAAACUCUUGAUCAAGAGAAAUGUUUGCAAGUUAGUUUCAACAGUCAGCUUCGCUAUAAAAGAUUAUCAUCAUCCUAGCGCCAUCUUUAGAGUUCUUUGUAAAGGUUGGUGUCCAGAAACCAAUACUUUUGCUACCGCCAAUGGUGAAAUUGACAUUUUUUUGGGACAUCUGUGAGAUAAGUAGAC
RNAcentral lists this long non-coding RNA (1196 nucleotides) under Olea europaea subsp. europaea. The record is from RNAcentral. Lineage: Eukaryota; Viridiplantae; Streptophyta; Magnoliopsida; Lamiales; Oleaceae.